RNAcentral lists this ribosomal RNA (503 nucleotides) under uncultured bacterium. RNAcentral's name for it is "partial 16S ribosomal RNA". It matches the Rfam family "Bacterial small subunit ribosomal RNA", at positions 30 to 523 of the family's 1533-position model. The record is from RNAcentral.
AUUGAACGCUGGCGGCAGGCUUAACACAUGCAAGUCGAGCGGGGUGAUGGUGCUUGCACUAUCACUUAGCGGCGGACGGGUGAGUAAUGCUUAGGAAUCUGCCUAUUAGUGGGGGACAACAUCUCGAAAGGGAUGCUAAUACCGCAUACGUCCUACGGGAGAAAGCAGGGGAUCACUUGUGACCUUGCGCUAAUAGAUGAGCCUAAGUCGGAUUAGCUAGUUGGUGGGGUAAAGGCCUACCAAGGCGACGAUCUGUAGCGGGUCUGAGAGGAUGAUCCGCCAGACUGGGACUGAGACACGGCCCAGAAUCCUACGGGAGGCAGCAGUGGGGAAUAUUGGACAAUGGGGGGAACCCUGAUCCAGCCAUGCCGCGUGUGUGAAGAAGGCCUUAUGGUUGUAAAGCACUUUAAGCGAGGAGGAGGCUCUUUUGGUUAAUACCCAAGAUGAGUGGACGUUACUCGCAGAAUAAGCACCGGCUAACUCUGUGCCAGCCGCCGCCGUAA